Molecule: long non-coding RNA, 818 nt
Filed under: Diabrotica virgifera virgifera (western corn rootworm)
Lineage: Eukaryota; Metazoa; Arthropoda; Insecta; Coleoptera; Chrysomelidae
Description: uncharacterized LOC126890571
Source: RNAcentral
AUAAAAAUUAUUGUUCGCGAAUAUUCAAUUUGGAAUGCGAUUUUGUUAAUAAAAAAAAUACUUAUAACUUAUGCAAAACCCAAGAGAGGCAUUUAUAUUUAUUUCUUUUGCGUUCAUUUUCAAAUUCGCCGUGCAUAUAUUUUUGUGCAUGGCGCUUGAGAGGGCAUCACGUGACUAAAAACGACCAACCAACGACCUCGCUUCGGCCAUCUUGGCAUCUUCAUCUUGGCGACCUUGCCUUGCCGUGGAUUGUUUUUAGUUGUUUGUAUUAUUUGUGCUUUUUAAGAAUAUUUUUUUAAUUCGGAUACUUUUAUAAUAGCUUUAAUAGUAUUAAUAACAUAGUGCAUAAAAUGGUGUCCUGUUUUUAACGCAGUUGGAGUAGCAGAAACAAAUGUAGAUAAAAAAAUCUGCAGGAAUAACGUUUCAAUUAUGACAGAAGCUCAAAACAAAUGACUGUGAAUGAAAAGCCCUAUUAAAAGCUUUCCAGAAGAUCCUGCGAAGAAGGCAUGAAGUAUAGAUCAGAUUUGUUAAUAGAGGAGUAUGUUCAAAACACUUUUUAGAAAAAGAUAUUGACAGAACUUCACUUUCAUCUGUUCGUUUGAGAGACUGUGCUGUUCCAAUAGCUUAUGUCACACAGAAUCAGCUGAGAGAAGUGGUCUACAAAAAACCAGAAAGGAAACGGAAUAUGUGGGUACGAAAAGCAAAAGAAAGGUUUACAAAGCAAAUGUGACACAUUUUUUUAUAAUAUUUAGGAAUGUCAGCAAAUUACAUUAAAAAAUGUAUGUAAAGAUUUUUUGCAAUAAAAAUGUUUAUAUUUA